Molecule: ribosomal RNA, 539 nt
Filed under: uncultured bacterium
Lineage: Bacteria
Description: bacterial SSU rRNA
Rfam family: Bacterial small subunit ribosomal RNA
Source: RNAcentral
AAUAGAUACCCUGGUAGUCCACGCCGUAAACGAUGAGUGCUAAGUGUUAGAGGGUUUCCGCCCUUUAGUGCUGCAGCAAACGCAUUAAGCACUCCGCCUGGGGAGUACGGUCGCAAGACUGAAACUCAAAGGAAUUGACGGGGGCCCGCACAAGCGGUGGAGCAUGUGGUUUAAUUCGAAGCAACGCGAAGAACCUUACCAGGUCUUGACAUCCCGUGACAACUCUAGAGAUAGGGCUUUCCCCUUCGGGGGACACGGUGACAGGUGGUGCAUGGUUGUCGUCAGCUCGUGUCGUGAGAUGUUGGGUUAAGUCCCGCAACGAGCGCAACCCUUGAUCUUAGUUGCCAGCAUUCAGUUGGGCACUCUAAGGUGACUGCCGGUGACAAACCGGAGGAAGGUGGGGAUGACGUCAAAUCAUCAUGCCCCUUAUGACCUGGGCUACACACGUGCUACAAUGGAUGGUACAAAGGGGCAGCGAAACCGCGAGGGUUAAGCCAAUCCCAUAAAACCAUUCUCAGUUCGGAUUGCAGGCUGCAACG